Gallus gallus (chicken) is the source of this 11761-nucleotide long non-coding RNA. RefSeq lists it as uncharacterized. The record is from RefSeq and is a predicted model, not a curated record. Lineage: Eukaryota; Metazoa; Chordata; Aves; Galliformes; Phasianidae. The transcript is spliced from 3 exons.
CCCCCGCCCCCGCGGCGUGGGGCCGGGUGGGGCACGCGGGGCGGGGUUGGGGGUGGGGGGGUCCCCUCGCCCCUUCCCGCCCUACCGGUCGUCUCUGCGGUUGUCGGAUCGCUGCGGCGCCCUGGAGACGGGCGGGCGGGCGGAGAAAGCGAGGCGUCGCCUCGCUGCCCCUCUCCCGAGCAGAGCGCAGCCUCCGCGCCGCGUCCCUCCCGGCGCUCUGCCCCGCCGGUUCCACGCUCCGUCGCACCACAGUGCUGCCUGCCUGCCUGCCACGAUCCCCUCCCCCGACGCCAUGAUGCCUUUCGACACCUCACGUCUUUUCUUUAGUGAAAAACAGAAGCCCUCAGAAGGGGAACUCGGUUCCCACAGGCCGCCGGUACAUCUGGCUGUCGGCACAGCGGGGUCGUCCCCACACCGCGGGCCGCUGCCCGCCUCAGGCGCCAUGUUGAGGGGCAGAACGAACGCACCUCUGUCUCGCCCACUUUUCUGAGGUUUUCUGAGGGAUAAACCCCCUAGGAAUAGCUUUCCGCAGCGGCAGCCUCUGUAGGUGUGGGCCAAACCUCCCCGUGACAAUGUGUGUUCCUUCAUUCUUCCUUCCACGCGGCACUGAGCAAAAGCCCCAGGCCAUGCUGCAGAGUGCUGUCACACAGCAAGUCGUCCAACAGGUUUCUCUUUCUAAACAAGAAGGUAUGGCGUUUGGCUCAGGUUUACCAGAUGGCCCGCAAAGCUUUCGCCAGAUCUCGGUGGGAAGAAGAAAAAGAAGGGUUAGGAAGGAAGCACCAGUGCUUCCCUCAGACAGGGAGCUCCUGAGGGCUCCACGUGCUGGAGAUCUGCCCUCCAGAGUUGCUGUGAACUGUGCAUGACUCACUCAAUAGUAACCCUCUUUUUUCUUUUUUUUUUUUCCUUUUUGGUUGCUUACCUAUCUGCUGAGUGGAUGAGACCACAGAUCCUGGCUGAGCAGUCGUGUUGAGUGGAGAAAUCUCCAAGCCCCCGGAUGUUUACUGCAACGAAACACAGAGAUGUGAGCUGUUGUGGCACAGAGCACAUCCACAGAGCCCUCCAUCCUGUGCCAGCAGACCAACGGCCCCCAGUUACGGCUCCCGGGGGCUGAGAGCCCCACAUCUUUUUGUCCUGCACUGAAAGAAAAUGGACUCGUGCCAUUCGCUUCUAUUUUAAGCACCCGCCUUCUCAAUCCACUUCAUGGAGAGACCCAACCAAAGCAAUUAUCUCAGUGUCACCUGGCACAGCCACAUAAACAUGGCCUGCGCUGCAAAGCGGGAGUCUCCCCAGAAAGACGCAGUCUAUGCAGCUGAUGUGGUUUGGCAAACAACACCAGGCCCCACAGCACCUACCCGGCUCCCCAUACUCGAUGCCUUUAAACGCUGAAGGCCAUAGAAAGCCUGCAGUGAGUUUCCUGGAGAAGUCUCUUAGGCCGCUCCAAAAUCUUGUCCGGGAGUCUGAAAGACGUCCGUGAUGCGUUCAGAGGGACAGUGCAUGUUCCAUUCUUCAAAUAUUUAUAGAUAUGCCUCGUGUUUGAGUGAAGCUGACGUUUCUGGUGAAGUAGAAGGAUUACAGCAGGGGGAGGAAUUACCCUAAAUCGGCAGGCAUUUUUGUCCAUUAACUAACACAAGGCUAAAAGGAGAAUUAAGCAUCUGGCAGUCAGGAGCUCGGCUCCACUGCAAGGGAGAUUUCAUAGCAGUAUGCUUCAAGAUCAAUUACAGAAAAAAAAAGAAGAAGGAAAACAAAAAUGAACUAGAACAGUGUGCUGCAUAACACUGGGUGCUAAGGAGACUGGAAAAAAACACUGAAGCUGGAAGGUUUGGGCCCUGGACAAGUGUAAUGGCCUGUUGUCUUUGAGGAAGGGCAUUUCUUCCUCCUCCCUGUCCCACACCCACAGCAGUGCCUGCAUUGCACCGACUCAGCUGGUCAUGGGGCUGUGUUGUGAAACCUUGUGGGGAGGUGAUGGGGAGGAAGGGUUGUGUAACCCAAAUGCAUUCCCCAGUCCAAUUCACAGCCAAGCCUCAUCAAUUGGCUGAAGGGGGAAGAAUACCUAGAACCGAUCUUGCCACCAACACAGCAUAUGGUCGUCCCACUGCCUAACCGCAAUGCCUCUGUUGUGUUUGGGACAGCUGCACCCUAAAAACCUGGGCAGGGAGUAAGGCAGGAGGUCUUUUUCCAGCCCCACUCCCCUGAACGCAGGCAGCUCGACCUUCCCCAUAUCUGCACAUCAUGUGGGGCAAAGCAUUGGGUUGGGGAGCUUUCUUACCUGGCACUGCCAAUGAGCUGGUCCCAGCAGGAGUAAGAGUGAAUGCAGUUCUCUCCUGGAGCUGGGGCCGCAGGGCUUCAGUGCUCCUCAGCUGGCAGCAACUGCACGAGAACUGCUCCCGUGCUAAAGCCAAAUCUCCUCUGUCAGUCAUCAGGUGUAAUAAAGUCUCAUUAGCACAAAACAAUCCCACUGAGCAGCGCUCCCCUCUGCUACGCCCUCCCUUCAGGCUUCAUCCCCUUACUCCACAUGCUCUUGCUGGGGACAGGACACAUCCCUUGUUUAGGGCUGAGGUGAGCACUGUGGCUAACACAAGCUAACCAAGUCCUUGGCAAAGUGAGGGGGAAGCCCACAUCCAGCCCAUGCCGAAGGCAGUCUGCUUGAUUUAAACUAGCCCCCUUCCUUCCUCGCUGCCUGCACCAGCUAGUGCAGCAUCACGCUAGGCCCACGCCAGCACCUGGUAUCGUUUAAAGGUGUCUUGGUCACUUUCAGAUUUAUAUUUAUUUGAUUUUACCUAUAUCUCUUUCCCCCUUUGCAGCAGGCCCUGUUGCUUAUGGCCACACAACACAGGAGAAAACUACACUGUCGAGAGAAGCCACAAAUCCACCUGAUCCCACACCAUCCAGUGUCAUGACCUGAUACAACCUUAUCCAUUAAUUAACGGGAACCAGUUCCUAACAGCACCUAGACACGCUGUUCCCAGGCUUGCUGUUAUCAUUGGUGUUGUUCCUUUGAAAGCACCGUAUGCAGCCUGGCAGGGCCUGCUGGGGAAGAGGAUUUUAUAUACGGCUGUUGAGAUCAGUAGUGGAGUGGCAGAGUGAUGACUAACCUUAUAAAACACACUUUUUAAAGCACUGAUGAUGGAGUAGACACUAAUUACGCCUGCCAGCGUGACUGCUGGGGAGUGCAGUCCCAUGGCCACCUUCAGCACACAUGGUUGCACAGAGCAGGAUGCAAAGGACAGCAUUUAAACACAGUCACAGUAAGCUGUCUUCUGGACAGCUGACUGUGGUUGGGUAAAACUUAACGAAGCUCUGAAAAAUUUGAUAUUAAAAUUGUUCUGCAGGAUUUUCAUGUUUUAGGUCUGUAAAGCUGAGUUUUCAUCUUAUAAUUACGAUAGUAAAUUGCUGCUUUUUUUUUCCCUUUCUUCUGAGAAAGAGAGCAAAUGCUUUUGAUUGCAGCCAUUGGCAGUGGCAUGUACACCCUGAAAUUUAAUCAGAAUCAGGAAUAAUUUUUUUUUGCCUACGUAUCAAAAACAUGACCUUCCCUCACCAUCACCAUCAUCAUCUAAAUUAUUCAGUGCAGUGUACAGCCCUUGCCAGCAAACUGCAGAGCAUCAGACUGUUCUCACGGGGUGGUUACGGUGAAGGAGUCCAUCUGGGGCACUGGCUGCAUCAGUGGGUGACACCAAUCCUUAGUGCCCAAGCUAUUCCACACCAAGUGUGAUACUCACAAAAGCCAGGAAAGAACGUUUUCAAAGGAUUCAACUCUUCGCUUCUGACUGAGUUUUAAAUCAGUUCUAUUUUUUCCAGGCUAUUUAUUCAUCGCUGUCAUAGCAAUUGAGUGCACUGUAAUAAAAAGUUAUUUUGAGGGGCUACUGCUUUUACAGCUGAGCUAUGUACAUUGGCCUUUUCUGUAGCAUUUGCUUUUUAAUUAAUAAUUGGUACGUUGCCAGAAGCAAAAGAGAAGUAGGAACAAGUCCUAGGUAAUAAACUCGUCAAGGUUAUCUUGUUCUUCUUGUUUCACUGCAGCAAAGUAAGAGGGAGAGAUGUCAGAUGCAGCCAGGCAGCAAGAAAGUGCUGCCACUGCGAUGUGGAGCCAGGACCUGCAAGCUGCUUUCUCAAGGUACCUUCCCGCAGCCACACUUGUGAGCAUGGUCAGCUCUCUGGCAGAAGCUCCCCAAAAAGGAGCAGAACACCUCUCAUCAGAAACAGUGACUGCUCCCACAUGGAACACCUGUAAAUCCAGCACAACAGUGACGCUCCUCCUACAGCAGUGUACUCGAUGGGACAAGAAAGAAUCUACUUGGAAUUCUACUUCUGUAUCAGCAGAAACUGGACAAUAAUUAUUUUGCAAACAACGAAGAUAUGUACAAAACAUUUAUUUUUCUGUCCUGGCAUUGUGAACAUCUUAUCCUUCUCCUUGCCUUACAUCAGAGGCAUCCCACAGCAUUUUGUGACAAGCUGAAGAGCUGCAAACCUGAAAUCUGCCCAGCAGCACAGUCUCUUCACUGGUGAGAAAACUUAGGAACACAUGUACUGGAGCAGCUUCAGCUGAACCUCUUCCAUUUCGUUUUCAUUUUUUUCUUUUUUGCAGAUAUAGUUUUAAGCACCAGUAAACUCCCAGCUGCAGGAACGCUGCCAGUCCUCAUAUAUAACCUAGAUUUUGAAACCGUCUUGACUUCAUGCCUCUCCUUGAUGAGGCUCUGCUGCAUGACUUCCCUUGGACUCUCUCAGAGCCAGCUUGGGUAACCUAACUCCAGUUAAAGCCAUUCAUUUUGUGGGACGGAUGCUGACAUCCAAGCUGGCUGUUGUCUGGGCAGCGUGAAGGCCUGCCAGUAAGCAGAGGAGACCAAGCCAACACCAUGUGCAGGAGGUUUUUCAAGACACUCCCAAACGUUUGGCAGAGAACUUGCAGCCAUGACAGGAGUGACGUUUCACUCGGCCCACAGCCAUGCAGGGCACAGCGGGUGCUUCACCACCAGGCUGGGACUGGCACGUCCCCAGUGAGAUGGGCAGAAACUGGGCUGUUCUGAAGCUCCCUUGGAGGCACUCAUCGAGCUUGAUCCCAAAGGAAGUGCAGCGCAUCCUCACAGUGCCAACUCCCUGAGGACCCUGGCAAAGCAGCAGUUGCAAGUCGUGGUUUCAGUCCUGUAGCUCUGGCUGGGAAACUCCUGCUCCACACCCAUCGCCAGGCCCCGUGGAUCCCCUGUAACUGGUUUCCGUGGUUUUGUGCUCAUAAAGCCUUUGCUGGAGGCCACAGGCCAUUUGCCUUGCCACAUUGCUGGGUUGCAUGCACAGUCAGUGCCUGUGCCUCAUGCUCACUGCAGCAAGCAGAGGCCAGCAGUACGACUGGGGUACGGGAUGCUGUCCCCAGCGCCCUUCAUGGGGCUCCCAGAGCUCAGAGUGAGUCCAGACAAGGGUGUGCAGUGAGCAGAGGCAUCCAGCUGCGUCAGCCCCAAACCCCUCCCCACCUUUGGUGAGGGCAGUUCAGAGAGAUACACAAAAAACACGGCUUUUCUUCUGCGGCAGUAUGUACACAUACCAGAGUUAUCAGAAAGCUCUUAUCUUGCUACUGUAGAACUCGCUGAUAAACUUUAGCAAUAAUAAAAACAAAAAAACAGGGUGAGGGGAAAUGAAAUAAUCCACGCAUCUCAUUUUAAUAUCCAGCCUCAUAGCUACAGGUUAAUGAAAAAUGAAGACGUGGGGAAGAUAAAGGGAAGAUGUGCCUAGGGACUGAGAUCAGCAACAUCAUCGGAGUAAAUAAAGGGUUUUCUUCUUGCAGCUCUGUGGAGAAAUCCCUCUGACGUGGAUGUGUGCUAAUAAAUAGAACUUUAGAAACCAGCACACAGCACAGGUGAGAUAUGGCCACGUAAAUUAGUAAACCACUGCCUCAUGUAUGAAAUUACUGCAGGUUUUGUGCUUGAUCCCGUAUGUAUUUAACCUUUCCCAUGUAAACAGUCUUCCAAAGGUAAUGGAGCUGUAGUAAUUUGCAAUGGCUGGGGAUUAAGCCGGAGGGGUUAAGCGUUCCUGCCGGCUCACAUUGCAGCACGCUGUAGUAACGAGGCUGUAGGACAGCUCGGAGAUGUUCCUGCUCUGACACAGACAGCCGUGGCCAUUGCACCACAUCGCUGGCGGCAUCACUGUGUCCGUGGGCAAAGAAGUGCAGCUCUGGCCCUGCAGAGGAGCAUGCAGACAUGUUGUUGGCCGCAGCAAUGUAAGCUCAUUUCUUGCUUUCUCUCAUUCUCACUGGGGAAGUGCCAAUGCUUUCCAGAGACCGUUUCAUUACUGUUAUGCUGCUUACAAGCAUCUUAAUUUAAAUCACAUUAUAGAUGCAUUGAGGCAAAAUGAUCUAUCCACAGCCUAAAUAAUGAACCGGAGUGAAAACAUCCUUGGGCUGUGAGAAGCUAGAACAAGCACUAAUUGAAAUAUAUAAACUUACAUAACAUUAUUUAUAAAAAGGAGCUCGGUUGUGAAAGGCUGGAGCAUGGGAAUGUUUCUCUCUGCAGAGAAAAAUUAAUUACGUAGCUUUAUAUAUUCCAGUUGCUUUGGUUGCUCAUCUCCUAAUGCGCCUAAGGACUACUUGAAAGGUAUUUAUGGAUCCCAGCCACUGCUUCUGGAUGGUGUUUUUUAACUUAGCACUUAUGCACGUCAUUGCCUCGCAGGAUAUUGCAGUGGGGGGGUAAUUAGCUUUAUGCACCGUGCUCCUCAGCUUUAAAAGACAUGCAGAUUUGCCCUGAGGUUCUGCAGUAGCAAAUAUAUUUUAGAAGAUGCUGGGAGGAGGCCAGGGCUGACCAAGUCACCAGAUACUUGGUGCAGGGUGGUGGGGCGGCUGCUGUGUCUGGGGGUGCAGGCAGAGCUCUGAGGUAGUUGUAGUCAAAUGCACUCCUCUCUGCACAAGCCUGCUGUCUCUUUUAUUAUGGCUUUGAUUAAUUUCUGCUGCUGCUACUGCCGGAGAGAUGCUAUGAAGACUCAAUGAAGACCCUUAUGCAUGGCUGGAAGAUCCACGGGGCGGCCAACAACCCAGCAUGGGGCCAAACAUCCUCCAGCAAGCGCUCCAACCCAGCUUAGUCAGAAUGCCUACGCAAGGAGGAAGUUGCAGCCAGGACAGUUGUGGUGCAGAGUCUCCCUCAACUCCUCUAUUUCUUGGGCUGGCAGAAGUUGUAGCUAGCAGCCUGGCCUCCGUGUUUGCUGAACAGCACUCUGAGCCCUGGGAUUUUGACAGACCUGGAUCCACAGCAGUGAGUUGUCAUCUGUUUUUCCAGAUACAAACCACAUGAAAAGUGCCACAAACAGUCAUCAGCGGCUGCUGCACUGACCUCCCCGGCCAGGCUGUCUUAAAAAGGCACUGUCUGAACCCAGCACUGACUGAGCGCCUUUCUGUAAAUAUUUGGAAUAAAUGAAUAUUUGGAAUAAAUGAACCAUUCAAAUCCCCCAGAAGGGGAAGAAAACAUUUCCACCACCAAUGUGGAGCAAGCUGAGUCAUCAGGUGAAGCUUCCAGAGACUUACACAUCCACAGAUGUUCAGUCAAUACAUAAAUGAAGAAGCAUACUCGGAAAGACGGUAAGUGAUUUAUUUUAUUGAUAGGUAACAAAAUAUAGAAAGGACCGAUGUACAAAAAUGAAAAUCUCUCAAAAUGCCCAGCAAAAUGUUCUAUGAAUUAAGCAAUUCUGGGGAUACGUGGACUGAGAAAAAAGAAAAUUGCAUCGAGAGGAAUCUGUUUGCAACCAGAUAGCAAAUGCAAGCCUUGCGCAUUGUGCAAUGCAUGACUUGAGGAGAUGGCGCUGGGAGAUAAUUUGGGGAGCACAAGAUCAUAAACAAGUGGCAACUUGGAGGAAUUCCCAGAAAACAAGAAGUGAUUGACUGAAUAAACUGCAAGGCAUAUUAGCGAUGCAAAAGGUGACAUCAAAGGAAGAACAAGCUGAAGGUUGUGACAACGCAUGGCUGCCAUUCACUAAUUACAGGCCACAGAAAGCAGCAGCAGAUGUUGGGAUGAGAUGUACAUCUGGAGGUGCACAUCUGAGGUCAUCAAAAAUGGGGCCAGAGCUACAGCCACAGCCCCAUCCCACUUUUGUUUGCCAUGGGGUGAAUCCACCAUGAUUUUUGGGAGCCAUCACCUGCGUCAAUAGGGAAGCACCAGCAGAAACAGGACUGAAUGACUGCUCUGGGCAGUGACAAUGCUGAUUUCAUUCAAAGUGAGGUGGAAGGUUUCCUGGACAAAUUAAUCCAGGGCUUUGUAUGGCUGGAAACCUCUAUCCCCAACCACUGAGCAUGUUGUAGAGGGCAGGAGUGAUAGUCACAGGGCAGGAAACAGGGCUGGUGGCCAGCUUUCACUGCCACCACUGCAAUGGUAACAGAUACACAGAAUUAUUUGAAUUGGAAGGGACUUUAAAGGCCAUGUACAGGCCAUCAACCCCCCUGCAAUGAACAGGGACACCUACAGCUCCAUGAGGUGCUCAGAGUCCCAUCCAGCCUGACCUUGGGUGUCUUCGGGGACAGGGCAUCCAUCACCUCUCUGGGCAACCUGUUCCCGUGCCUCACCAUCCUUAUCAUAAAAACUUUAUAUCUAGUCUAAGUCUUCUCUUUUAGUUUGAAACCAUUUCCCCUUGUCCUAUCACACAGGCCCUGCUAAAGAGUCCGUCCCCUUCCUUCCUACAGCCCCCCUUUAGAUACUGAAAGGCCGCUCUCAGGUCUCCCCGGAGCCUUCUCUUCUCCAGGAUGCACAGCCCCAGCUCUCUCAGCUUGUCCUUGUAGAGGAGGUCAUUUUUGUGUCCCUCCUCUGGAUGCACUCCAACAGGUCCACGUCUCUCCUAUACUGAGAACUCCACAUCUGGAUGCAGUACUCCAGAUGAGGUCUCACAGCACAGAGCAGGAUCACCCCCCUCACCUUGCUGCCCAUGCUGCUUUGGAUGCAGCCUAGGAUCUGAUUGGCUUUCUGGGCUGCGAGGGCACAUUGCUUGCCAUCCACCAGCACCCCAGCUUCUUUUCAGCAGAGCUGUGCUCCAUCCUUACAUCCCCAGCUUGUACUUAUAGCAGGGGUUGCCAUGACCCAGGUGCAAGACAACCUUGCACUUGGCUUUGUAUUUAGUGCAUUUAGUAUAUUUAGUAGGAUCACUGAUAGCAGAUAAUGCCCAUGCAUCCCAACAAAGAGCCAAGGGUAUUUUGGUCCUUCACUGAAGGAAGCGUAGCAGAGUUACAUCCGAGGCCUUUUCUCCCCCACCACUCUCAGCUGAAAGCAGGCACAGCCCUGCUCAAGGGGGAAAUCUGUUCUCCUUGCUCAGUCUGAGAAAGCACAGCAUCCUCUGCCUGCCCAUGUCAAAGCUUGUGAAGCAGAAACGAUUUUGCUGUCCAGUGACUCCUGUGUCCUUACUGAGGGUUGAGCAGUGUGAUCCCAAAAAUAUUAAGCAUUUUUUUUCUAGUUUUUGCCUGGUAGUUUACUAAGAUCCACCAAGAAGAAAAUGAGGAAGAUUCGAUUUAAACAUCUCACCACUACUAGGAAAGAGUCCAAUCAUUUCCUCAAUGACCUCAUCUUUUUUUGCCUCAGCCUCCUUGCCUUGCCUUGCCUGGUUAGCCAUUUCACAUAUUUAUUAUUCCUUGUAUGAAAUAAUACUUCCUGACAUCUGUUCCCAGUUUGUUUCUCUUUAAUUUCCAUUUAUAGCACAUUUUCCUAUCCUCUGACCAUGUUAAAAUAAAACAAUAAGUAUGUUUGACACAGUGCAAGUUACUUCAGAUCAUGAUCCUUCCCUGACCUUGACUUUAUGCUUUUUGCAUGUGCUAAAAUGUGGAAAAAUAAUUAAAUGAACACUGAGAGGAGGCAAGUGGAAAGCCAAAAGAAUCAGCAACCACUCAGCAUUUCACACCCCUGAUUACCCAGCGCCUGGUGUGAGGACCAGGCUCAGCAGUCCCCGUCCUGUUCCACUCUGACAUGUAUCAGCUGCAGCCAAGUGGGGAAAGGGAAGAGCUGGGGCUGCGUGCUCCUUCCAGAUAGAGGGGAGAACUGGGUGGCUGUAAGGGUUGGGCAGAAGCAUGGGAAAGCAAAUGUUAAUUCCGAGUGCAGUGAUACAGACUGGCUUGGGUGAUGCUUUACCUCCUGACCAGGCAGAUGGGAAAAGGUGCCCUUUCCUUGCUCUGAAAAGAGACUGUGCGCUUCCAAUUGCAACCUGGCAACUCUACAAGCAAAAAAAUCAUAUGGAGAAUCAGGGAGGAGCACUUUAGUUACAGCAUCUCUGUCUUAGUACAGGCAGCCAAUAUCAUUUUUGCUCAGGAGAAAGUUGCUUAUGUAGCUAAGAAAGAACCAGUGUAGCCUCCAACCAAAUGUGUAAGCAUGUCUUCCUGUUAGCAACAAGAGCAGCACACCAGAGUCGUGCUCCAUCACUAUUCUAUGGACUAUCAGGCAGUUUCCCAGUAAGAACCAUCAUGCUCCAUGCAGCUCCUCCACGUCAUCCUGCACCAGGAAGGCAGUAAUUAUGGUUACUGCUCCUGUUGUGGCAAAGUGGACAACCCCUGAACUGAAACGUGAAACAAAACAUCUCAGCUCAGUCCCCGCCUGGCUGGAAGGGCAGCAGCUGCACUGCAGUUCUGUGUUAUGGCCAAGGAGAGAGGUGGGUUCCUGCAACAGCCAAAAAAGCCACAGCUCAGUUCCAGUCAUGGUGCUCUGUAUGUAUCUUAUCUGCUUUUGGAAGUUUUCUUCACACAACUAUUUUAUCAAUAGAGCUUUAUAAUCUGCAUGCUUGCCAAGGGCAUUUUCCUUCUGAGGAUUCCUAGCUGAGCACACCCACACUACAAACUCUGGGUUUAACCUGGGAGUUUUCAAGGUCAAGACAAACGUCACGGCAAAGAGCAGCCAAGUUAAAUUGCGCACUGACAGAGCGCUGGCCUCUCAAACACACCACACAGCACCAUGCCAGGGCUGUGCCACGUAAGGCUCAGGAGCCGGAAGGCUAACGGGGGCUGCCAGCCUUGAGGGAAGCAGGCUAGAAGUGGCUUUGGAAGCUUGCCAGCUGAUCACUACAUCAGGCUUUUGAGAAACCAGUGUCACCUUGUGCCGCCCAAGAGAUGCUCCCAUGGCCGUCCCUUGGCUCUCUGUGGCAUGGGGUGAGUGUUCAUCAGCAGCCCAGCAGGGCCAACUCACAUGCUUGGGAACCAUUUACUUAAUCCUCAGCAGCACUAAGGCUUGUGAUGAGAAAAAAGUGUGUUUGUGACUCUUCUCCCUCAACUCUCUGCACUUCAUCCCCUGCGCUCCAAGCUCUAGGCAGGCAGAGUUUGCGUAGGUAGAUUUGUCCUACAUAGCCCAUGGUUUGGAAGGAUAAACACAAAUCCCCCUAGUCUGUCUGUUCCUUCUGCUCAUUUCUCCCCUGCCACAAUUGGCCAAUUUACCUUUGCUGUUCACCCAGUGCAGCAUUUACAGCAUCUGGAAGAGUAAAAAAGUGAUAGGUAGGAAAAAAAAAGAGAAAAGCUCCUCUAAACUCGAAGGGAUGAUUAUGCAAAGCUUUAUCACUGCUGCCUCGGAGAACAGGCCUGGAGGAGGGGCUGGAGAGAGCUUCACAGCUUAACUUCACCCAUGCUUUGUUCUGAAUGUGUUGUACAGUUACAACUGGUACUUAACCAUCAUUACCUAUUUUAUAUACAGGAACAGGCACUGUGAAUAAGUACGGAGGUCAUUUGUUUUUUUGAGUUGCAAUCUCUUUAUUUUCUGUGAGUCAAGUGGUCUGAGUCAGUGCAGUCAUGCUCUCCUCUAUUUCUGUGAGUUUCUUCAGCAUCUGGCUCACCUUGGCCUCA